Molecule: long non-coding RNA, 3776 nt
Organism: Peromyscus leucopus (white-footed mouse)
Lineage: Eukaryota; Metazoa; Chordata; Mammalia; Rodentia; Cricetidae
Exons: 4
Source: RefSeq, a predicted model, not a curated record
GGCAGCGAGGCCUCCGUGGCCAGAGAGCCACGGGCAAGGGGCUGAGCAGAGGGGGGUCCGAUGCCAGUUGCUUAAAAAUGCCCCUGUCGCACCAAGAGGUGCCAGAGCCGAGUCAACUUAGUUGAGAAGCAGGGACACCCACAACCAUACCCCAAAAAGGCUGAGCCUCCACCUCCGAAGAGUCAUCCCCGGGCCAGACAACAGCCAAGGCAAGAGUGGCGGCUAGCAGGGUGCCCCCCCCUACACUGGAGAAUGAAGACCCCCCAGAGAGGAAUCCUCCCGAGAACCAGGAAAGGACAGCAGUGGCAGCCCUGCUCUCAGAACUGAGCUUCCCAACAGACAGAAGCCAGAGAUUCCCCCUAGCCUGGAGACAUUCUCUGAAGACGUGGGGAAAGGAGAGAAAGCGGGUCACCCCCUGCAGCAGGCCUCCAAAGCUGCUGAGAGACAGCACCAAGAGCACCAGCCCCAAGGAAAGGCUGCCUACCCUCUUCAGACAACCCUGAAAGUAUGUGUCAUCCAGCAUCAAGGCCACCACAGUCACCAUGAAGCAAAGGUCUUCUGGGAUCUUGGCAAGAGCCGGGUGAGUGGGUGGUUUGGGGUAGGAGCACUCUGCUCACCUGGAAGGUCCCAUACAAGCCAUGCCCACGGAAGAAAAUGAAUUAUCCACAUGGGCACUCUGUCAGUCACCACACGUCAUCUGCUGCGUUUGUGUCCUGUGCAAAGCCAUCAGCAGUAUCUAUAAGAAUUAUAGAUACUCAGAUUAUAAGAUAUGGGCCUUGGACCUCUCAGGGACCUGGAGAGGUAAGUAGGGGUGGCCCACAGAUGAAACGCUCUGAGGCCACAGAGGAUGAGGUGGGUGGCAAGCCAUCCAUAAACAUGGCCCUGAUUUGGGGGCUGAGGAAAUCCAGCAGGCUCCCUUUCCUCACAAAGGAAGGUGUUCACAGAAGAAAACUGUCCCUCGAGAUUUGGGAAGAAACAGAGUUCACAGGAUGGACAAGCACCUGAAGGAAGUGUCCUGGGGUCUAAAGAAGUGAGGGACGGUUUCUCACAAGUGGUCAUUUCCCUAGUGUGCAUACAGAGAUGGGUUUGGGACAAGAGCAGGAGCCACAAGGUGAGCGGGCACAGAGAGGUCAUCUAAUGUGUGCAGGACCCUGGGAUCCAUCCCUGUACUGCAGAGAAAGAAAGAAAAAUCAUUGCCCACUUUAACUGGGUGGACGCUACCUCAAGAAAGCUAACUUAAAGAAAAAGGGAAAUGCAAGUGGACAUUUCAGUCGCAGAGGGCUCCAGGGCAAGGGAAGAACAGGAUGGGAGGCCGCGGGACCUGCCCACACUCCUUCUCCUGCCCAGGAAGACAGUGGCAGCCUGAGCACGGAGCGCCUGUCUCCCGGCCUGGGGUGCAGUGCUGCAUCUCUGGUCAGUUGGGAGUCUGAGAUGAAGCACUGUAGCUCAGGAAGAGAGAAGUUGGUCUGCAGCCAUCUCCGGGACGCGCGUGGUAAGUGUUGACGUGGGGUGACAGGCCCUAUAGGUUGUCCCUAGGCUCCGCGUCAGCGGUCUGUGGUGACGGUCCUCGGCUCGAGCUGCACCAGUAGGCGCUGGUCCAUUCAGUGGCGGCUGGUACCGACACCCUGCCUCCACUUUCUCUUCCUGAGCCCAUAGGACAUACUGCUGACAAAUCACGGCACCUAUCCAUUCUGGGAGGGUUCCGGCACACCCUCAGAUUCCUUCUUAACACUGCAGACUCGAAUCCCCACUGUUAAUGACUCUGAUUACAACCCGUUCAUCUCCGGAGAUCAUCAGACAUUCCCUAACAGCUCUUCCAUCCCGGAGGGAGCGGCCCAGGGUCCUGGCAGCCCCACACAUGGUAGAUGACACCAUCAUGUGGCAAUGUCAAAAUGUUGCACAUCCCUGUUGGGCUUGGAGUCAAAGUCCUCAGUCUCUGAGCCUCUAACCCUGGCUCUGUGCUAUUGGCUAAACCAGCCCAGGCAUUUCACAAAUGUCUACCCUGUCCUAGAGGCCUCGGAGACGCAAGGGGCAGCAGAGGAGAGCCGCUGGGAUCUGCCCAGUGAUAUCUAACCUCCCACACCUGGUCAGAAGAAGGUGACCCACUUCACGGAGGAGAAAACUAAGUCUUGGUUAAGUGGCUGGCCUUAGGUCACACAUGGGUGUGCUGAGCUGGGGUCCAACUUCUUAUCCCCUGUGAGACUAUGGGACCGGGGAGUAGGAAAGUACGAGAACAGAACACACUCCACUCUGAUCCUGUGUACUCUCUGCUGUGGUAACAGAGUCAGGACCACACAUGUCUAAGGGGCCUGUGGCCUCGAUUUCUUCUGCAUGCUGGCUCCUCACCCCGUAGGUCCUAUUUGAUGCCAUUUCACAAGCAAGGCCCAGAGUUUAAGUGAUCCGCUGGAAGUCAACAGUGAGAAAGUUGCCAGAGCAUGGGAACUGACUUCACCCACACUGGCUUAAACUCACCCUCCUGGCCAGAGCAUUCGUGGCCUAUGGCAAUGUGGGGAGGGGUGGGGGGGCGGGGGAGAGGAACGACUGGUCCCAGAUGUUUUCUGAUCAAUUCUGAUCAACAUCAGCAGGCUGGCCUUUGACCACAGGGAAGGUACUUUCCAAGCCACUCCAAGCUCUAGCUGCUCUUCCCAGGGCGGGACGCUGCAGCACCCCACACUGGCUGCCAGAGCUAGGGGCCGGAUGCAGAGAAAAGUGCUGGUCCCUAGGGGUGUGGCACGUGCUGAAGGCUUCCCUCUCCCACCUUGUCCUCACGGUCCAGUUUUCCCAGGAAUCCCUUGGAUGCUAAGAUGGGGAUUCCUGGAAAUACUGUUCUUGAGGUCAAGGCUUAACGGCGGGAUCUGCCUCCUUCCCACCCUGGCAUUUCCUCCCUGGGAUGAGGGAGGAGAAGGCGGCACGCUGGAGGUAAGAGGCCUCGCUCGGGACAUCCCUUCUGACCUUUGUAUUGCUUUUCUUUCCACUGGGUCGGCAUUUCAUAACAUCCCCCCCCCCCCCCCGCCGAGGCUGGAUGUGGGAACCUCAGAACUGCCUCACUCUUGAGAAACUUGUCCCAAGUCGCCGUGGUUGAAGCAGGACUCUGAGGCAGCCUCCCCCUCCACCCUGACCCUCCGCAUUCCUUCCCUGCAGGCCUUAUGGCAAGGAGGGGCCACAGGCCCGUAUCCAUAUUAUUCAGAAAGCCAUACACAAUUUUAUUUUAAAUUUUAUUACAUCAGUUAGGUAAACUCAAAACCAUUCCUCUCCCGUUGGGUUUGGAGUGCCGCCGCCGCCGCCGCCGCCGCCGCAGGAAAUGCGCGUUCCAGGUAGGAAAAUACAAGGUUUGGACCGCCCCCUGGUGGUAGUCCAGCGAACUGCAAGAACACUGAUUUCCCCAGACACUGAGCAGGAAUCGCUCCGUAGCCCUGCCUUCCUGUUUCUACACACUUCUACCAAAAUUCUUUCUGCCCAAUUCUUUUGAGCCUCUGACAUGCUUCAGCCUUAUUCAUUUCUUGCCAGAGAUGCUUCCUCGGCUUACAGUUGGCUUUUCUUUAGGUACAAACCAGUGCCAGUUCACCUAGACGGCAAACAGCAGAACUAGGAUAGGUUUCAAGUUCCGUGGCCCCUGGCCUUGAAUGUCUGAGCCAAAAGGAAAAGUAGGGCCAAGUACUCCUCCCUUAUAGCUCCCUGCCUUCCAACCCUUGAGAGUUCUUUCUCAUUUUUCCUUAAUAAAUCUCUGCUUGCUGUGCUUUUAAAAAAAAAUCCAAAAAAAAAAAAAAAAACCAAAU